GAUGAACGCUGGCGGCGUGCCUAAUACAUGCAAGUCGAGCGAGCAGAUGAGAAGCUUGCUUCUCUGAUGUUAGCGGCGGACGGGUGAGUAACACGUGGGUAACCUACCUAUAAGACUGGGAUAACUCCGGGAAACCGGGGCUAAUACCGGAUAAUAUUUUGAACCGCAUGGUUCAAUAGUGAAAGACGGUUUCGGAUGUCACUUAUAGAUGGACCCGCGCCGUAUUAGCUAGUUGGUAAGGUAACGGCUUACCAAGGCGACGAUACGUAGCCGACCUGAGAGGGUGAUCGGCCACACUGGAACUGAGACACGGUCCAGACUCCUACGGGAGGCAGCAGUAGGGAAUCUUCCGCAAUGGGCGAAAGCGUGACGGAGCAACGCCGCGUGAGUGAUGAAGGUCUUCGGAUCGUAAAACUCUGUUGUUAGGGAAGAACAAAUUUGUUAGUAACUGAACAAGUCUUGACGGUACCUAACCAGAAAGCCACGGCUAACUACGUGCCAGCCGCCGCAGUAA
This 514-nucleotide ribosomal RNA is filed under the name uncultured bacterium. RNAcentral's name for it is "partial 16S ribosomal RNA". It matches the Rfam family "Bacterial small subunit ribosomal RNA", at positions 28 to 523 of the family's 1533-position model. The record is from RNAcentral.